This is an RNA transcript of Corvus hawaiiensis (hawaiian crow), 3045 nucleotides long. It is a transcript of the gene named NK3 homeobox 1, with no coding region annotated. Lineage: Eukaryota; Metazoa; Chordata; Aves; Passeriformes; Corvidae. The record is from RefSeq and is a predicted model, not a curated record. The transcript has 3 exons.
UGAGCAGGAGGGGAAGGCAGCGGCCCGAAAUCCAGCGGGAGCCAAGAGGCAGCCGAAGGGCGUAGACUCGUGCCGGGCUCUCCAAUCAGCCCCGGGAGGUUUGGCUCGGGCCGGAUAAAUGCGGGCCGGGCUGGGUGGGAACGCGGCGAGCCCCGGGAGAAGGGGAUGAGCUCCGGGGCGCGGCCGGGACGGCGGCAGAGCUCGGCCAGCACCCCCCCGGCAGCGAUGAGCGGCACCCCCGGGGCAGCCCCGCAGCCCCGGCCCGUCCCCUCCCGGCCCCGCACGUCCUUCCUCAUCCAGGACAUCCUCUGGGAUGGGGCCGAGCGCGGCAGGAGCGCAGGGAAUGAGGAGCUGGGAGAGCCCAGCGAGGAGGGGAGAGGGGACAGCCCGGCCCCGGGACACCCCCCCGGGGGUCCCCAUCCCCCGGGAGCGGCCGCAGCCUCGGGGACACCCCAGGAACCGGACACAGACACCCCGGUGGAGCCUUUCCUGUCCGACUGUGCCCCCGCCGUGCAUCCCAUGGCUCCGCGGCCUCCCAGGCAGGGAAAACGUUCCCGAGCCGCCUUCUCCCACAGCCAGGUGAUCGAGCUGGAGCGGAAGUUCAGCCACCAGAAAUACCUGUCCGCCCCGGAGAGAGCGACCUUGGCCCGGCACCUGCAGCUCACCGAGACCCAGGUGAAGAUCUGGUUCCAGAACAGGAGGUACAAGACCAAGAGGAAACAGCUGGUGGCCGGGAUGAGCCGCUUGGACUCGCGCCAGGAAGCGGCCGAAUUCCCGGGAAUGUCGCUGCUGGCGCUCAGGGGGGCCUGGCCCUACCUGCCCUGCCUCUACUACGUGAAUUCCUGGAGCCCCUCCUGGUAGAAAUGGCUUUUUUAGGUGGAAAAUAUCCGGUUUUUCCUUAAAUUCAGAGGGGAGCGAUUGGCAGCUCAAAGGUCUCUCAUCCCUUACACUGAAAUAACCAAAAGCAGCCCCAAAUUUUAGUUGCAGUGCUCUGGGAAUUCCCAGAAAAGCCUUGGCUGUUCCACCCCUGGAAGUUCCCAGAUCCAGGCUGGAUGGGGCUUGGAGCUGAGGGCACCCGGCACUCUUGAGUGGCUGGAGCCUCUCCUGGUAGAAAUGGCUUUUUCAGGUGGAAAAUAUCCGGUUUUUCCUUAAAUUCAGAGGGGAGCGAUUGGCAGCUCAAAGGUCUCUCAUCCCUUACACUGAAAUAACCAAAACCAGCCCCAAAAUUUAACAGCAUUUAAUUCACUGUGUUUGAUUCCAAAGCUCUGGGAAUUCCCAGGGAACCUGUGGCUGCUCCAUCCCUGGAAGUUCCCAGAUCCAGGCUGGAUGGGGUUUGGAGCUGGGGGCACCUGGCUGUACCUGCCCUGCCUCUACUGCGUGAAUUCCUGGAGCCCCUCCUGGUAGGAACGGCUUUUUUAGGUGGAAAAUACCCUUUAUCUUGGAUAUUAAGGAAUAUUUCCCGAAAUAUUUCCUGGCUAUUUCCUUAAAUUCAGAGCGGGGGGUGGGGGUCACCGGCAGCGUUUUGUAGCGGGAACACGAAAUUCCCUCACCGCAAACACGGGGGAAAAAACCCAAAGGAAAAGCCCCAGAUGUUAACAGCAUUUAAUCCACCGUGUUCCAUUCCAGAGCUCUGGGAAUUCCCGGGGAAUCUGUGGCCGCCCCAUCCCUGGAAGUGCCCAAAUCCAGGUCGCCACCCGGAGGUGCCCUGGAUGCCACCCUGGCAGGGACAAUGGGGCAAUGACAGACGGGUUUUGCAUAUCCGGGUGUCGGCCCUGCUGCAGCGCUCCGGGGUUUUAAAGGAGCAGCAGCUCCAAGGCUCCACUUCCAGAGCAGCAAACCCCGUUUGCAGCUGGAAUCUGGGAGUUGGAGCCGCCUUUUCCCGAGCCGAAUCAUCCCAGAAUUCCGUGAAUCAGCCCAAUUCCCGGCGCUGGGUCACCAGAACAGCAAGAGGAUGAUGCCAGCUUGUCGUUUUUAGGGAAAAAAACUCCCGUUUGCACUUCCAGAAUAGAAAAAAUUGAAUUUUUUAAAAAAAUUUAUACUUAAAGUGUCAUCAAUUCCAUGGGGAAAGUGUGGGAAUAAGGGAGAUUUCCAAGGGAAGAAAUGCAUUUUCUCAGCCGGAGUAACCUGGAGCAGAUUUAAUCUCCUGGAACUCAAAUCUUCCCUGGGAAGCUCCAGGAACGUUCCUCUGGUUCCUGCUCUUCCCAUUAAAAUCCCAGUGCUGCCAUUCCCUCCUGGAUUAGGGAAACGCAGACAAUAAAUCAUGGGAAGGAGCUGCCUGGAUUCGCCCCUUUUCCACAGCAUUAUUCGGGACCCGCCCUUUUGCCGGGGGACUCCUGCGAGCUCCCAGGCAGAGAGGCAAAAAUUCCAGGGGCAAAAUUCCAGGGAAGGGAGGACAGGGAGAGGAGGACACAGAAGGGGAGCUCUUUGCAGGAAUUAUUAAUUUCUCUCUUUGCUAUCAAAGAUUCUCCCUUAAUUUGGAGGCCGAGCUUUGGAAUUGUCUCAAAGUAACUUUCGCUAUCUCCAGCUCCGUUUCCCUCCCAGCUCCUUCUCCCAGGGCCGGGAAUUCCAGCCCGGAUUCCAGCAUGGAAGGCCAUCUCCUCUCCGCUGUUGCAAAGUGUUUCCAUCCCUGCCCUGCCCUUAUCCACUCGGGAACAACAAAAAUCCCUUUAUUGACCUCAAAGCCGAGUUCCAGCCGGGAGUGACCCCCCCGCCCCGAGGGCACCUCCUGCCCACAUCCCAUGGAUUUCUCUGCCAGAGCCUUGGGAUGCUGCUGGAAUCCUGGCAGAGACAGCGAAUGUGCGCUAAAACCGCUGGGAAAGGGCUCGGAGCAUCCCGGUUUGCACGGACAGGGGGGGAAUGUUCCACUGGGAAGGGCUGGGAAAAUGAGAUCUGAACUGGAAAUUAACUCUGAACUGGAAAUGGGAUUUAAGCUGUAAAUCAGAUCUAAACUGGAAAUGAAAUCUAAAUUUAAAAUCAGAUCUAAACUGGAAAUUAAAUCUAAAGUGAAAAUGAGAUUUAAACUGGGAACUAAAUCUAAACUGGAAA